This 328-nucleotide long non-coding RNA is filed under the name Amborella trichopoda. RNAcentral describes it as "long non-coding RNA (ATRI_LNC000312)". Lineage: Eukaryota; Viridiplantae; Streptophyta; Magnoliopsida; Amborellales; Amborellaceae. The record is from RNAcentral.
GUUUCUUCUUUGCUUUCGUUUCGUCCCUGCUCAUCUUAACCUGACUGCUGACUGGCUUCCUUACCGACCGGAAUGAUUUGAAGAAUUGAAUUGAACAAGGGGGUGCCAAUGACUCCCUUCUUUACGUGCCUUACAUCCCUGACUGCGACACUGACUUACUUGAUUGAUUCAAUCUUGUAUUUCACGAGGGCUAACUAAAUGACUAAUUGAACGGGUUCGGCAAAGAAGAAAACCCUGACUGCCGAGAAGAGACCCACCCGAAGGGGUGGGGAGGCUCCUGCUUGUUUGAAUGUCUUCUUUUUUAUCCCGCCGAGAACUGAUUGGUUUU